AGAUGACCCCAGAGACUGCAACCAGAUGACAGGACAACUUUCUAAGGAGCAGAAUGCACUGCUGUUUCCUGGCCCCCAACGAUUUCAACAAGGAUGGAACAUCAAGGAGAAAAAAGUCAUUAAGAAGAAAAGGAUGAUGGGAACUAGAUCCAGGAGCAGUGCAUGAGAUGUGAGACCACUCAACUAAAACAAGAGCUCUCUCUCCAAGACACCCAGUAAAAUGAAGGAUCAGAUCAGGACAAGAAACUAGAUCAAGAGCAGCCACAGUAUGUGAACUGAGACAAUGGAAGAGGGGAUGCUUAAUAUAGUGACACAAAAGGAGGAAGUCAGAGUACAAAGAAAAAGCCACACAGCCACAGAGAGAACAUGGAUGGAAAGAACCAGAUGACCAGCAGAAUCUAAGAAGAUAAAGAAACAGUUCGAUGAGCCUCCAGACGAUCAACGACAGAAGAAACAUGUCAGAGAACAGGAGGAAGAUGAAUAACAGCAUCAAAGAGAGAAAAAGAAACAGACCCAAGAAGAAGAAGA
Molecule: long non-coding RNA, 528 nt
Organism: Amphiprion ocellaris (clown anemonefish)
Lineage: Eukaryota; Metazoa; Chordata; Actinopteri; Pomacentridae
Exons: 5
Source: RefSeq, a predicted model, not a curated record